Molecule: long non-coding RNA, 308 nt
Filed under: Capsella rubella
Lineage: Eukaryota; Viridiplantae; Streptophyta; Magnoliopsida; Brassicales; Brassicaceae
Description: long non-coding RNA (CRUB_LNC000796)
Source: RNAcentral
UUUUUAAAGGGUUUUUAAAAGGGUUUAUACGGUUUUUAUAAGGUUUUUAUAAUUUAUUUUUACGCUAUUUAUGAAAAGUAUAUAAAGUUUUAUACACAUAUAAAUGUAAUUUAAUAAUGUCAUAAUAAAUGGUUAAAAAAAAAAAAAAAGUAAAGUACAAAAAAAAAAGUCUUACCCAAUCCGAUUGCGCCACGUGGCGUCUCUUAGCCUAGCAAAGGUAUCUUCUCCAACAUAUGUAUCUUAGCAAUAUUAAUGUUUUUUGAUUUAUUUAUUUUGAUUAAAACCCUUAAAUCCCCCUUAAAACCUGC